GCCUGGUGUGGUGGCUCACACCUGUAAUCCCAGUGGCUCUGGAGGCUGAGGCAGGAGGAUCGCCAAUUCAAAGCCAGCCUCAG
Molecule: small RNA, 83 nt
Filed under: Marmota monax (woodchuck)
Lineage: Eukaryota; Metazoa; Chordata; Mammalia; Rodentia; Sciuridae
Source: RNAcentral